Molecule: ribosomal RNA, 815 nt
Filed under: uncultured archaeon
Lineage: Archaea
Description: partial 16S ribosomal RNA
Source: RNAcentral
ACGGGCGGUGUGUGCAAGGAGCAGGGACGUAUUCACCGCGCGAUAAUGACACGCAGUUACUAGGGAUUCCAUAUUCGUGAGGGCGAGUUGCAGCCCUCAGUCAUAACUGUGGUAACGUUUGAGGAUUACCUCAUCCUUUCGGAUUCGAAACCCACUGUCGUUACCAUUGCAGCCCGCGUGUGGCCCCAGAGUUUCGGGGCAUACUGACCUGCCGUGGCCCCUUCCUUCCUCCGCAUUAACUGCGGCGGUCCCGCUAAUUCGCCCCACUACUCCUGAGAGUAAUGGUGGCAACUAGAGGCAGGGAUCUCGCUCGUUACCUGACUUAACAGGACAUCUCACGGCACGAGCUGGCGACGGCCAUGCACCACCUCUCAGCUUGUCUGGUAAAGUCUUCAGCUUGACCUUCAUUCUGCUGUCUCUCCGGGUAAGAUUUCUGGCGUUGACUCCAAUUGAACCGCAGGCUUCACCCCUUGUGGUGCUCCCCCGCCAAUUCCUUUAAGUUUCAUACUUGCGUACGUACUUCCCAGGCGGCAAACUUAACGGCUUCCCUGCAGCACUGCAUUGGCCACAAGCCAAUGCAUCACUGAGUUUGCAUAGUUUACAGCUGGGACUACCCGGGUAUCUAAUCCGGUUUGCUCCCCCAGCUUUCAUCCCUCACCGUCGGACGUGUUCUGGUAGACCGCCUUCGCCACAGGUGGUCAUCAAUAGAUCAAAGGAUUUUACCCCUUCCUACCGAGUACCGUCUACCUCUCCCACUCCCUAGCUCUGCAGUAUUCCCGGCAGCCUGUACGUUGAGCGUACAGAUUUAACCGAAA